AGCGAACAUUGGCGGCAGGCCUAACACAUGCAAGUCGAACGGAUCCUUCGGGAUUAGUGGCGGACGGGUGAGUAACGCGUGGGAACAUACCCAAAGGUACGGAAUAGCCUCGGGAAACUGGGAGUAAUACCGUAUGUGCUCGAAAGAGGAAAGAUUUAUCGCCUUUGGAUUGGCCCGCGUUGGAUUAGGUAGUUGGUGGGGUAAUGGCCUACCAAGCCGACGAUCCAUAGCUGGUUUGAGAGGAUGAUCAGCCACACUGGGACUGAGACACGGCCCAGACUCCUACGGGAGGCAGCAGUGGGGAAUCUUAGACAAUGGGGGAAACCCUGAUCUAGCCAUGCCGCGUGAUCGAUGAAGGCCUUAGGGUUGUAAAGAUCUUUCAGGUGGGAAGAUAAUGACUGUACCACCAGAAGAAGCCCCGGCUAACUCCGUGCCAGCCGCCGCUGUAA
This 449-nucleotide ribosomal RNA is filed under the name uncultured bacterium. Its description in RNAcentral is "partial 16S ribosomal RNA". It matches the Rfam family "Bacterial small subunit ribosomal RNA", at positions 29 to 523 of the family's 1533-position model. The record is from RNAcentral.